This is a ribozyme of 203 nucleotides. It matches the Rfam family "Nuclear RNase P". Rfam says of the family: Ribonuclease P (RNase P) is a ubiquitous endoribonuclease, found in archaea, bacteria and eukarya as well as chloroplasts and mitochondria. The record is from Ensembl.
GGUGGAGGAAGAUUAUCCGCGGGGCAACGUGCUGAGUGCUCAGCACUCCCUGGCCCCUGGGAAGGUCUGAGACUGGGGCCUCCCUUGGCCCUAACCAGGCCCUCCCUGACCUCCCAGAGAGCAGGGCCCACAUUGGGCGCCAGGUAUAUUGAGAGCUGAUCCAUAGUCUGUAUGGUUAAGAUAUCUUUAUUCAGAUAAACACC